AUACGUAGGGGGCGAGCGUUGUCCGGAAUGAUUGGGCGUAAAGGGCGCGUAGGCGGCCCGGUAAGUCUGGAGUGAAAGUCCUGUUUUUAAGAUGGGAAUUGCUUUGGAUACUGUCGGGCUUGAGUGCAGGAGAGGUAAGUGGAAUUCCCAGUGUAGCGGUGAAAUGCGUAGAGAUUGGGAGGAACACCAGUGGCGAAGGCGACUUACUGGACUGUAACUGACGCUGAGGCGCGAAAGGGUGGGGAGCAAACAGGAUUAGAUACCCUGGUAGUCCACACUGUAAACGAUGAAUGCUAGGUGUAGGGGGUAUCGACCCCUUCUGUGCCGCAGUCAACACAAUAAGCAUUCCGCCUGGGGAGUACGGCCGCAAGGUUGAAACUUAAAUGAAUUGGCGGGG
Molecule: ribosomal RNA, 397 nt
Filed under: uncultured bacterium
Lineage: Bacteria
Description: partial 16S ribosomal RNA
Rfam family: Bacterial small subunit ribosomal RNA
Source: RNAcentral